Molecule: ribosomal RNA, 253 nt
Filed under: uncultured bacterium
Lineage: Bacteria
Description: partial 16S ribosomal RNA
Rfam family: Bacterial small subunit ribosomal RNA
Source: RNAcentral
UACGUAGGGGGCAAGCGUUGUCCGGAUUUAUUGGGCGUAAAGAGCGUGUAGGCGGCCAGGUAGGUCAGCUGUGAAAACUCGAGGCUCAACCUCGAGACGCCGGUUGAAACCAUCUGGCUAGAGUCCGGAAGAGGAGAGUGGAAUUCCUGGUGUAGCGGUGAAAUGCGUAGAUAUCGGGAGGAAUACCGAUGGCGAAGGCAGCUUUCUGGCACAUAACUGACGCUGAGAUUCGAAAGCGUGGGUAGCAAACAGG